This is a long non-coding RNA of Carassius gibelio (silver crucian carp), 810 nucleotides long. RefSeq lists it as uncharacterized. The record is from RefSeq and is a predicted model, not a curated record. The transcript is spliced from 2 exons. Lineage: Eukaryota; Metazoa; Chordata; Actinopteri; Cypriniformes; Cyprinidae.
CUUAAGAAAGACCAUUUUUCUUUGUAGACAAGACUAUGGAGAAGUUUUUCAUAGCAGCACUCAAAGAAAUGACAAAACACACAUCCACUCAAACUAGAAACAAAUAUUUAAAGUUUACUUCAUUUUGAUUAAAGAUAAAAAUCCUAAGCCUAAUAGGCUAUUAUUUAAAAACGAUACAAUAGUGAGGUCAAUAUUCAGUUUAACAAGACAAUAUUAUACUGUAAAGCAAGUGCAGAGAACGAGAGAGUGUGUAUGUCAGUAGGAUGCUGUCCGUGAGGUCUUUGCGCGCGCGUGGGCGUGACGCUUUGACGCGCCGCUCAAGACGCGCGUGAGUGUGAGAGCGCGCGCACACUGAUUCUGACUGACUGAACACACACAGCUGGAACAGCGCAACAUUACAGCACUGCAUUAACAUGGUGUGGAGUCACCCAUCGAACCCGGGCAGGAGGCAAAAGUCAAGAUCUACUUCACUCCCACUCAGUCUGGCCUGUGCAAACUCAUAGUGGAUUUUGACAGCGACAAGCUGGGCCACGUUAGAGGAUACAAGAAUGUUAUCAUCGGGAAGUGAGACCCUUCGGUGGUGGAUAACAGUCUAUUUUAUAAAAUCAUCUAUUUUUCCAUGCACUUGUCAGUAUUCACAGAGUAUUAGGCAAUCUUUUAUAUACUGUACUUUUCUAAGAAUGUGAAAAGCCAAGCUGAGCAAUAUGCAACAAUAAAUGUCAAGAAAUUUUGGAUGUUUGGAGCCACAUUGCAUCGUGGGAAAUAUCAUGCUGUAAAAACACAAGAAUGAAAAUGAUGCAUGCAAAAGUU